AAAACAUUGCUAUUUGCCUAGCCGUUGCCUAAACCAAUGGCAUCUCUUCGGCAAAAGAAAAAAAACUGCCAAAGCAAAAGAAUAGGAAGGGCCAAAGUGUUUCCUACACUUUUUCUUGCCCAAGUAUCCGUUCAAAGUUCCAUAGGACGCUUCCCUCCUACUCCGUUCCCAGUCCCACCCUAAUGACAGUCCCCAAGAAACCUUCGAUAUAUUCCACUGCUCCUUGAUGGAAUCUGAAACCAUAACAAAAUCCCAAUUCACGCGUCUCCAAACCGAAGCAGUACACACCUCUCCCACGCCAACGCCUAACAAUUUCAUCGACUUCUCCAUUAUCCCCUCGCGACGGCCAAGUUUUGCACCCGCCAUUGCCCGUCGCCUAGAAUACCCUCCAACUGGACCUCUACGAUUUCGCACGAUCUCACUGUAAUGAGAAACCAACGAAAGACAAAAGAGGACCUAACAUUAGAUGCUAUGGGUGGUGAACUCCAGUUUGUUUUGGGCCAACAACCAAAUCCCUACUUGACUGUGUAAUUCCAAUAUUCUAUAUAUUCGUCCAUCAAAAUUGAAGUCAGGAAUGAAAAGAGACUGAAGAUAAAAAUUCAUUGAAAGUGAAGCCCAAAUGUGUAUGAAGGGCAAGUGGUUGGGCUAAAGCAUACAUUGGAUACUCUGUUUCCCCUGCUGAUAAAGCCGAACCAGCUAGAAUCAUGACUUUGGAUGGAAGUAACAUCUUAGAAUGUUUUAAAUUUUAGGCCGAUGCUCAACUGUUAAACAAAUCUGCUUGGGUGGUGUUCUAUCCACUCACAAUUGAUCGUUGCUUAUCUAUAAGAUGUUAAACCAAUUCUGAAUUCUCAGUGAAGUUGGUCCAUAGUCUUCAUUCUUAGACAAGCUAUUGGUGCAACUGUAACAAAUCCUCGGUUUCCUUGUAACAGAAGAAGUUUCUUUCUUCUUCAUCUUUUUUUUGGGUUGAUAAGAAGAUGAUAUUCCUUGUCAAGGUAGUUGGAAAUGAUUGAUCAUGUGAGAUUGUGUUAUUCAUUUAUUUGCUUUUUGGUUUAUUUUUCCUUUAGGUCUUUCCUAUAUUUAGCACUUGUUGCGAAAAAUAGAUUACCAUAUUUCGCAUUUGUUGCGAAAUUUUAGGUUCUAAUACCAUGUGAAAACAUAAGCUGGAUUUUACUUACAUUUGUUCAUUCGAACAUAAUCCUUGACCACAUACAAGUACUAAUAGGCUCAGAUGCUAUGUUGCAAACAUCUUUGUUUAGAAAUUGGCAUGCAUAUAAUUGUGGAUAGCAAAGCUUUGCAAAAAAAGCUGUCCUGUAGCAAUAGUAGUCCAAUCACUUAGCAGCUUUGGAAUCAUAUGAAAUGACAAUUAGCUGUCAAAUUCUCAUUCUCUUAAUCAUAGAAACGUUAGUUGCAUA
This is a long non-coding RNA of Rhododendron vialii, 1412 nucleotides long. RefSeq lists it as uncharacterized. Lineage: Eukaryota; Viridiplantae; Streptophyta; Magnoliopsida; Ericales; Ericaceae. The record is from RefSeq and is a predicted model, not a curated record. The transcript has 4 exons.